This 263-nucleotide ribosomal RNA is filed under the name uncultured bacterium. RNAcentral describes it as "partial 16S ribosomal RNA". It matches the Rfam family "Bacterial small subunit ribosomal RNA", at positions 28 to 293 of the family's 1533-position model. The record is from RNAcentral.
GACGAACGCUGGCGGCGUGCUUAACACAUGCAAGUCGAGCGGUAAGGCCCUUUCGGGGGUACACGAGCGGCGAACGGGUGAGUAACACGUGGGUGACCUGCCCUCAGCUCUGGGAUAAGCCUGGGAAACCGGGUCUAAUACUGGAUAUGACUCCAUGACGCAUGUUGUGGGUGAAAGCCUUGUGCGGCUGAGGAUGGGCCCGCGGCCUAUCAGCUUGGUUGGUGGGGUGAGNGGCCUACCAAGGCGACGACGGUAGCCGGCCU